CCUACGGGAGGCAGCAGUAGGGAAUCUUCCACAAUGGGCGCAAGCCUGAUGGAGCAACACCGCGUGAGUGAAGAAGGGUUUCGGCUCGUAAAGCUCUGUUGUUGGAGAAGAACGUGCGUGAGAGUAACUGUUCACGCAGUGACGGUAUCCAACCAGAAAGUCACGGCUAACUACGUGCCAGCAGCCGCGGUAAUACGUAGGUGGCAAGCGUUAUCCGGAUUUAUUGGGCGUAAAGCGAGCGCAGGCGGUUGCUUAGGUCUGAUGUGAAAGCCUUCGGCUUAACCGAAGAAGUGCAUCGGAAACCGGGCAACUUGAGUGCAGAAGAGGGCAGUGGAACUCCAUGUGUAGCGGUGGAAUGCGUAGAUAUAUGGAAGAACACCAGUGGCGAAGGCGGCUGUCUGGUCUGCAACUGACGCUGAGGCUCGAAAGCAUGGGUAGCGAACAGGAUUAGAUACCCGAGUAGUC
RNAcentral lists this ribosomal RNA (465 nucleotides) under uncultured bacterium. RNAcentral's name for it is "partial 16S ribosomal RNA". It matches the Rfam family "Bacterial small subunit ribosomal RNA", at positions 338 to 795 of the family's 1533-position model. The record is from RNAcentral.